UGUACAAGAAGGACAUGACUGUGAAGAAGUUACUGGAAGAGAGAAGUUUCCAAAAGUUUUUAUGGGGAAGCAAAAUUGUUUGGAGUAGCAAUAUGCAAAAGACAUUGUUACAGAUGAUACGCAGGAAUUUCAUGGGGCUCUUCAGAUAAAGUAAUGAUGCAGGUCUAAGAGCAAAGGAUCACAUUUGGUGUAGUAAUGCGAUAUGUACAAAUAGAGGUAGUUAGCAACUCUAAAUUGUUGCCUUACGAGCCAAUUAAAAACUUCUCCAUUAACCGGGUGUAAAUAGCACAGUUAAAAGUAGCAUAGUAAUUUUUUCACUAUAACAUAUAUCUAUUAUGGGAAUCACUGGCUGAACAUGUUAUAGUUCUAUGUAUUGCCAGGUCCAUAGAUUUCACAGUAUCUUUAUUAGAGAAAUUAUGCAAGGAACCAUAUGGAAAUUUGAAAUAGGCUGUUAGAAUCUUAUCAGGUCACUCUGAAGUCAUGGAAGUUGAAUGGAUAUCAGCCACUGCAUACCAAGUAAGCACAAAAUAAAUGUCAAUUGAAAUUGGAAUUGCUUAGUUUUAGCGGCUUCCGCUGCAGUUUAUCUGCCCAACCAUAUGGAACGCAGAAAAUUAUUUAUUUGCAUACUAUUAUUUUGUUACAAGUGCUAGCCAGCAACAGUACACUCGAUAUAUAUCUAUGUAGAUGGUAAAGGACUAAAAGAGUUGUGGUUAUCGCUGUAAAAUUGUCUCCGACCAAAUUAAGUCACUAUUUCUAAUUCAAAUUCUUUGUCGUAUGGGCUGGUGGUCUUGGGCCGAGUAGCAGUUCGGUGUUGGAUCUGGUGUGGGUCGUGUCAUUGGAUUGUAUUUGGUGGUAGUAGUGGCGGCUUAAGUGGUCGCAUAAGGAAUUUCAUUUCUUUAUGUUUAGAAUUAGCAAAACCUGUGUACACAUAAAUUCAAUUCAUCCAUGUUAAUUUUGUGAGUCACCCUUUUCUUUUGCA
Molecule: long non-coding RNA, 979 nt
Organism: Papaver somniferum (opium poppy)
Lineage: Eukaryota; Viridiplantae; Streptophyta; Magnoliopsida; Ranunculales; Papaveraceae
Exons: 3
Source: RefSeq, a predicted model, not a curated record